CAGCGGAGGGAUCAUUACCGAGUUUACAACUCCCAAACCCAUUGUGAACUUAUACCCAAAACGUUGCCUCGGCGGACACAGCGGUACCCGAGCCCCCGCAAGGGAGCAAAGGCGCCCCGUCCGCCAGGGGACCAAAACUCUUCUGUAUACCCAUAGCGGCAUGUCUGAGUGGAUUUAAAAACAAAUGAAUCAAAACUUUCAACAACGGAUCUCUUGGUUCUGGCAUCGAUGAAGAACGCAGCGAAAUGCGAUACGUAAUGUGAAUUGCAGACUUCAGUGAAUCAUCGAAUCUUUGAACGCACAUUGCGCCCGCCAGUAUUCUGGCGGGCAUGCCUGUUCGAGCGUCAUUUCAACCCUCAAGCCCUGCUUGGUGUUGGGGACCGGCUCAGCGGGUGCGGGCUUCGGCCCGCCCCGUGCCGCCCCCGAAAUGGAUCGGCGGUCUCGUCGCAGCCUUCUUUGCGUAGUAACAUACCACCUCGCAACAGGAGCGCGGCGCGGCCACUGCCGUAAAACGCCCAACUUUUUAGAGUUGACCUCGAAUCAGGUAGGAAUACCCGCUGAACUUAAGCAUAUCAAU
Molecule: ribosomal RNA, 577 nt
Filed under: Claviceps purpurea (ergot fungus)
Lineage: Eukaryota; Fungi; Ascomycota; Sordariomycetes; Hypocreales; Clavicipitaceae
Description: eukaryotic LSU rRNA
Rfam family: 5.8S ribosomal RNA (bases 194-347)
Source: RNAcentral